AUGACAACUUCUAGGAAAGGGGACACAUCCCUUGUCAUGCUCAUGUCAUUAGAGAUUUGGACUGAGAUAAAUGCAAAGGUUUUUAGGGAGGUCGCAUCCACACCAAAUGUGAUAUUUGAUAAGAUUAGAUUAGAGGCCAAUCUUUGGGGGCUUGUGGGUGCCAAGCCCUUGAGGUCAUUGAUGCCGCUAGAGUAG
RNAcentral lists this ribosomal RNA (195 nucleotides) under Triticum aestivum (bread wheat). Its description in RNAcentral is "partial small subunit ribosomal RNA". The record is from RNAcentral. Lineage: Eukaryota; Viridiplantae; Streptophyta; Magnoliopsida; Poales; Poaceae.